UCCACGCCGUAAACGAUGUCGACUUGGAGGUUGUUCCCUUGAGGAGUGGCUUCCGGAGCUAACGCGUUAAGUCGACCGCCUGGGGAGUACGGCCGCAAGGUUAAAACUCAAAUGAAUUGACGGGGGCCCGCACAAGCGGUGGAGCAUGUGGUUUAAUUCGAUGCAACGCGAAGAACCUUACCUACUCUUGACAUCCAGAGAACUUAGCAGAGAUGCUUUGGUGCCUUCGGGAACUCUGAGACAGGUGCUGCAUGGCUGUCGUCAGCUCGUGUUGUGAAAUGUUGGGUUAAGUCCCGCAACGAGCGCAACCCUUAUCCUUUGU
RNAcentral lists this ribosomal RNA (322 nucleotides) under uncultured bacterium. Its description in RNAcentral is "bacterial SSU rRNA". It matches the Rfam family "Bacterial small subunit ribosomal RNA", at positions 794 to 1115 of the family's 1533-position model. The record is from RNAcentral.